UGCAAGUCUGGUGCCAGCAGCCGCGGUAAUUCCAGCUCCAAUAGCGUAUAUUAAAGUUGUUGCAGUUAAAAAGCUCGUAGUUGAACUUUGUGUCUGUUUGGCCGGUCCGAUUUUUUCGUGUACUGGAAUCCCAAGCAGACCUUUCCUUCUGGCUAACCUUGGGUCCUUGUGGCUCUUGGCGAACCAGGAUUUUUACUUUGAAAAAAUUAGAGUGUUCAAAGCAGGCGUAUUGCUCGAAUAUAUUAGCAUGGAAUAAUAGAAUAGGACGUUUGGUUCUAUUUUGUUGGUUUCUAGGACCAUCGUAAUGAUUAAUAGGGACGGUCGGGGGCAUCAGUAUUCAAUUGUCAGAGGUGAAAUUCUUGGAUUUAUUGAAGACUAACUACUGCGAAAGCAUUUGCCAAA
This 402-nucleotide ribosomal RNA is filed under the name uncultured Saccharomyces. RNAcentral describes it as "SSU rRNA". It matches the Rfam family "Eukaryotic small subunit ribosomal RNA", at positions 554 to 962 of the family's 1831-position model. Lineage: Eukaryota; Fungi; Ascomycota; Saccharomycetes; Saccharomycetales; Saccharomycetaceae. The record is from RNAcentral. RNAcentral also lists the same sequence under 1 other name.